GGCCGACGCGCUGAGUGGUAUAGCAUGCGAUUGCAGCGCCAGUAUCGCAGGGUCCGGUGUUCGAACCCCGUCGGGACU
Molecule: non-coding RNA, 78 nt
Organism: Asterophora parasitica
Lineage: Eukaryota; Fungi; Basidiomycota; Agaricomycetes; Agaricales; Lyophyllaceae
Source: the annotation of a GenBank genome assembly